This 1828-nucleotide unclassified non-coding RNA is filed under the name Harpegnathos saltator (Jerdon's jumping ant). Its description in RNAcentral is "phosphatidylinositol 5-phosphate 4-kinase type-2 alpha, transcript variant X5". Lineage: Eukaryota; Metazoa; Arthropoda; Insecta; Hymenoptera; Formicidae. The record is from RNAcentral.
AGAAGUAGUUGGAGCGGCGGUGGUCGUUCAUCGCGAAUUCAGUGGCUACGUAGUGCCGAUCGUCGGCGAGUACGUGUAGGUUAGGAGUGUAUGCGUGUGUGUGGUGUGUGGCGCGUCGCGUCGCGUCGCGUCGCGUCGACGAGAAUCCGUCCGUGGUUCAUGGGCGUGUUCCGUAUCCGAUCCGUCGGUUGAUAAGGGAAGGCAGACUCGGCGAUUCGGUGACUCGUCGCGGCGACGUGACGGACAGAGCCUGGUGUGCGCGGUUGGCUCGCACGUGACGAUAUACGAUGUAAAGGUAAAUUCGCACAUAUUGCAGAGGAGAGGAUCGUCCCUAGCGCACUCGAGCUCGGCCAGGGUGAAUGUCAUUGGGGUGAGAGGCGACAGACUGAGCCCGAGAGAGUGAAGAAGCACUCGUCGUCGUCGUCGUCGAGUUAUCUGCGACGGUGAUUUGCGCGGUUCCACCAGUUCCGAUCGCGGUGUAGCGAGUUGCCCCGCGCGCUCGCCGCAGCCAGAGGAUGUCGAGCGUGCCGCAAAUGUCGAGCAGCGGGCUCAGCAAGCUGAAAAAGAAACACUUUCGGGUGAAGCAUCAGAAGGUUAAGCUGUUCCGCGCGAACGAGCCGUUACUCAGCGUGUUUAUGUGGGGUGUUAAUCAUACGAUAAACGAACUUAGUCACGUUAACAUUCCAGUAAUGCUCUUGCCGGAUGAUUUUAGAGCUUACAGCAAGUUAAAAGUGGAUAAUCAUCUCUUCAACAAAGAGAACAUGCCAUCCCACUUUAAGAUCAAAGAAUAUUGUCCGUUAGUCUUUAGGAAUUUGCGAGAGAGGUUCGGCAUAGACGAUCUGGAUUACAAGGAGUCGAUGACGAGAUGUCGGGCGUUUAAUCCGUCGCGAGCGAAGCAACGCUCGGAUUUGGUGUCCGUCUGCGGAAGGACUCGUCAGUUGGUUCAGCGCUCCGCUACCACCCCGUCGAUCGCCCUUUCCUCUCCUUCUGUCUCCUCGCAAAUUCCGAUUCUAAACAAACCGCUGCGUACCUACGGUUUUAAGCCAAAACGCCUGAGAUCGCAGCCGGUGCUCGACGAUUCAUCUGGAAAGAGCGGCGCGAAGUUCUAUCAGUCCUACGACAAACUGUUCAUUAUCAAGACUCUCACGAGCGAGGAAGUGGAGAGAAUGCAUUCGUUCUUGAAGCAUUAUCACCCUUACAUUGUCGAGCGACACGGAAAGACACUGUUACCGCAGUAUCUAGGCAUGUAUCGAUUAACCGUCGACGGUGUUGAGCAUUACGUGGUCGCCAUAAGGAACGUAUUUUCAAAUCACUUAACUACACACAAGAAAUUUGACUUGAAAGGUUCGACGGUGGAUCGAGAAGCAUCCGACAAGGAGAAGGAGAAAGAUCUUCCUACUUAUAAAGAUAACGAUUUCGUCAAAGAGGGCAUGAAAAUCUAUAUUGGAGAAGAGGCCAAAGCUAAGCUAAUAGAAACCCUAACCGCCGACGUAGAAGUAAUUUCUGACGAGAUUACAUCUGAUGGACUACUCCUUGCUUCUUGGUCUACACGAUUGCGCACGCGCUGAGCAAGAGAGUAGAGAACGUGCGGAAAGAGAGGAGGACGAGGAUAAUCACGAAGAGGAGGAUGAUAGUGAGUCCGGCAGCGGACUGGAGUCCCGAGGCCCAGCGGGAGAUCGUCUGUGGGGUUGGGGCGGUGUCGGUGCAGUCACCAGCAUGGCAACGCCUCCCGAAUCGCCGCACGCUGCGUUGAUGCGUGACACCAGUUUACAAUACGAAGACGCGAUCAUACCCGAACUAGACAUAUACGCUAUUCCUAGUAAAGAAG